GAUGAAGAACGUAGCAAAAUGCGAUAAGUAAUGUGAAUUGCAGAAUUCAGUGAAUCAUCGAGUCUUUGAACGCACAUUGCGCCCCCUGGUAUUCCGGGGGGCAUGCCUGUCCGAGCGUCAUUGCUGCCCUCAAGCCCGGCUUGUGUGUUGGGUCUCGUCCCCCUUCCCGGGGGGACGGGCCCGAAAGGCAGCGGCGGCACCGCGUCCGGUCCUCGAGCGUAUGGGGCUUUGUCACCCGCUCUGUAGGCCCGGCCGGCGCUUGCCGAUCAACCAAAACUUUUUUCCAGGUUGACCUCGGAUCAGGUAGGGAUACCCGCUGAACUUAAGCAUAUCAAUAAGCGGAGGA
This 346-nucleotide unclassified non-coding RNA is filed under the name soil metagenome. Its description in RNAcentral is "partial contains 5.8S ribosomal RNA, internal transcribed spacer 2, and large subunit ribosomal RNA". The stretch from base 1 to 120 matches the Rfam family "5.8S ribosomal RNA", at positions 35 to 154 of the family's 154-position model. The record is from RNAcentral.